GUCUGCAUGGAGCCGACCUUGAAAUACCACCCUUUAAUGUUUGAUGUUCUAACGUGGACCCGUUACCCGGGUUGCGGACAGUGUCUGGUGGGUAGUUUGACUGGGGCGGUCUCCUCCUAAAGAGUAACGGAGGAGCACGAAGGUUGGCUAAUCCUGGUCGGACAUCAGGAGGUUAGUGCAAUGGCAUAAGCCAGCUUGACUGCGAGCGUGACGGCGCGAGCAGGUGCGAAAGCAGGUCAUAGUGAUCCGGUGGUUCUGAAUGGAAGGGCCAUCGCUCAACGGAUAAAAGGUACUCCGGGGAUAACAGGCUGAUACCGCCCAAGAGUUCAUAUCGACGGCGGUGUUUGGCACCUCGAUGUCGGCUCAUCACAUCCUGGGGCUGAAGUAGGUCCCAAGGGUAUGGCUGUUCGCCAUUUAAAGUGGUACGCGAGCUGGGUUUAGAACGUCGUGAGACAGUUCGGUCCCUAUCUGCCGUGGGCGCUGGAGAACUGAGGGGGGCUGCUCCUAGUACGAGAGGACCGGAGUGGACGCAUCACUGGUGUUCGGGUUGUCAUGCCAAUGGCACUGCCCGGUAGCUAAAUGCGGAAGAGAUAAGUGCUGAAAGCAUCUAAGCACGAAACUUGCCCCGAGAUGAGUUCUCCCUGAGACUUAGAGUCUCCUGAAGGAACGUUGAAGACGACGACGUUGAUAGGCCGGGUGUGUAAGCGCAGCGAUGCGUUGAGCUAACCGGUACUAAUGAACCGUGAGGCUUAACCUUACAACGCCGAAGCUGUU
RNAcentral lists this ribosomal RNA (774 nucleotides) under Salmonella enterica. RNAcentral describes it as "partial 23S ribosomal RNA". It matches the Rfam family "Bacterial large subunit ribosomal RNA", at positions 2174 to 2925 of the family's 2925-position model. Lineage: Bacteria; Pseudomonadati; Pseudomonadota; Gammaproteobacteria; Enterobacterales; Enterobacteriaceae. The record is from RNAcentral.